This 250-nucleotide small RNA is filed under the name Vigna angularis var. angularis. RNAcentral's name for it is "Non-protein coding transcript". Lineage: Eukaryota; Viridiplantae; Streptophyta; Magnoliopsida; Fabales; Fabaceae. The record is from RNAcentral.
UUAACUGGGGAAUAAGAAACUGAGUGAUGGGAUGGAUCUUGCUACUUCAAAUGUCAUCAUUAGUCUAUGGUGUGUAUGAGAAUGUUAAGUGGGUUAAGAAGCCAUAUAAAAUCAACAGCACAUACGUUUCCAAGAUGAUUGUGGUGGCUAACCCACUGCAUAGAGAAAAGGUAAAACAAAUGUGGGUGAUAUAGAAUGUUAUCCAGCUGAAAAUUCUGAAAGUAAUGUUAUUGGUUAUGACCUUGUGAGC